RNA transcript from Cavia porcellus (domestic guinea pig), 6869 nucleotides. It is a transcript of the gene named EFR3 homolog A, with no coding region annotated. The transcript has 24 exons. Lineage: Eukaryota; Metazoa; Chordata; Mammalia; Rodentia; Caviidae. The record is from RefSeq and is a predicted model, not a curated record.
UGAGUACGCCUAACGCGACGUGCGGCCCGGAGCCGUCUGUCGGGGGCAGCUGUGGCUGCCUUCGUUGCGUGAGUGGCGUCCGCGCCCGCCUUCUCAACCCCGCUGUCUCGUCUUCACCCGGGCUUCGGCAGCCCGGCGUCGGCGGUCAUGCUGCCUGCGGCGCGCCCUGCGCGGCCCCGCUGAGCCUGGAGCGGCGGCGAGCGCGGCUUGGGGUCACCAUGCCUACCCGAGUAUGUUGCUGCUGUUCAGCUUUACGUCCUCGCUACAAACGCCUGGUGGACAACAUAUUCCCUGAGGAUCCAAAAGAUGGCCUUGUUAAAGCUGAUAUGGAAAAAUUGACAUUUUAUGCAGUAUCUGCUCCAGAGAAGCUGGACCGAAUAGGUUCGUACUUGGCAGAAAGACUGAGCAGAGAUGUUGUCAGACAUCGUUCUGGGUAUGUCCUAAUUGCGAUGGAGGCACUGGACCAGCUUCUUAUGGCCUGCCAUUCUCAGAGCAUCAAGCCAUUUGUGGAAAGCUUUCUUCAUAUGGUGGCAAAGCUGCUGGAAUCAGGGGAACCAAAGCUUCAAGUUCUUGGAACAAAUUCUUUUGUCAAAUUUGCAAAUAUUGAAGAAGAUACACCAUCCUAUCACAGACGUUAUGACUUUUUUGUAUCUCGAUUCAGUGCCAUGUGUCAUUCCUGUCAUAGUGAUCCAGAAACACGAACAGAAAUACGAAUUGCUGGGAUAAGAGGUAUUCAGGGUGUGGUUCGCAAAACAGUUAAUGAUGAACUUCGAGCUACCAUUUGGGAACCCCAGCAUAUGGAUAAGAUUGUUCCAUCCCUUCUGUUCAACAUGCAAAAGAUAGAGGAUGUUGACAGUCGCAUCGGCCCUCCUCCUUCUCCUUCUACAACUGACAAAGAAGAGAAUCCCUCUGUGCUGGCUGAAAACUGUUUCAGAGAACUGCUGGGGCGAGCUACCUUUGGGAAUAUGAAUAAUGCUGUCAGACCAGUUUUUGCGCAUUUAGAUCAUCACAAACUAUGGGAUCCUAAUGAAUUUGCAGUUCACUGCUUUAAAAUUAUAAUGUAUUCUAUUCAGGCUCAGUAUUCUCACCAUGUGAUCCAGGAGAUUCUGGGACACCUCGAUGCUUGUAAGAAAGAUUCUCCCCGGGUUCGAGCAGGCAUCAUUCAGGUGUUGUUAGAGGCUGUCGCCAUUGCUGCUAAAGGCUCCAUCGGGCCCACUGUGCUGGAGGUCUUCAAUACCUUACUGAAACAUUUGCGUCUCAGUGUUGAAUUUGAAGCAAAUGACUUGCAUGGGGAAUCUGUAAGCAGUGUCAGCGUAAACACGGGUGCCAGAGAUGAUGAGAAGAUUGUGCAGAAUGCGAUCAUCCAAACAAUAGGGUUUUUUGGAAGCAACCUACCAGAUUAUCAGAGGUCAGAGAUCAUGAUGUUCAUUAUGGGGAAAGUACCUGUUUUUGGAACAUCUACGCAUACUUUGGAUAUCAGUCAACUAGGGGAUUUGGGAACCAGGCGGAUUCAGAUAAUGUUGCUGAGAUCUUUGCUUAUGGUCACCUCUGGAUAUAAAGCCAAGACUAUUGUUACUGCGCUGCCAGGGUCUUUUCUGGAUCCUUUGUUGUCACCAUCUCUCAUGGAAGAUUAUGAACUGCGGCAGUUAGUCUUAGAAGUGAUGCACAACCUCAUGGAUCGCCAUGACAACAGGGCAAAGCUCCGUGGGAUCAGAAUAAUACCAGAUGUGGCAGACCUAAAGAUAAAAAGAGAAAAAAUUUGUAGGCAAGACACAAGUUUCAUGAAAAAGAAUGGGCAGCAGCUAUAUCGGCACAUAUAUUUGGGUUGUAAAGAGGAAGACAAUGUUCAGAAAAACUAUGAGCUACUUUAUACUUCUCUUGCUCUUAUAACUAUUGAACUGGCCAAUGAAGAAGUGGUUAUUGAUCUCAUUCGAUUGGCCAUUGCUUUACAGGACAGUGCAGUUAUCAACGAGGAUAAUUUGCCCAUGUUCCAUCGUUGUGGAAUUAUGGCACUGGUUGCAGCAUAUCUCAACUUUGUAAGUCAGAUGAUAGCUGUUCCCGCAUUUUGCCAGCAUGUUAGCAAGGUUAUUGAAAUUCGAACUAUGGAAGCUCCCUAUUUUCUACCAGAACAUAUUUUCAGAGAUAAGUGCAUGCUUCCAAAAUCUUUAGAGAAGCAUGAUAAAAAUUUAUAUUUUCUGACCAACAAGAUUGCAGAAUCACUCGGUGGAAGUGGAUAUGGUAUUGAGAGAUUAUCGGUACCAUAUGUACCACAAGUAACAGAUGAAGAUCGCCUUUCUAGGAGGAAAAGUAUUGUGGACACUGUAUCAAUUCAGGUGGAUAUUUUACCCAACAACGUUUCUUCUGAUGAUGUGGUUAGUAACACUGAAGAAAUCACCUUUGAAGCGUUGAAGAAAGCAAUUGAUACCAAUGUAAUGGAAGAACAAGAAAAGGAAAAGAGACGUCUUGUAAUAGAGAAAUUCCAGAAAGCACCUUUUGAAGAAAUAGCAGCACAGUGUGAAUCUAAAGCAAAUUUGCUUCAUGAUAGACUUGCUCAAAUAUUAGAACUCACUAUACGUCAGCAGCAGAAUAACAGGGAAGCUUGGACAGAAGAAAAGGUACCAGACAAUUACCUUGGACAUCAGGAAAGUCAGCAGCUUAGUAAGAAAGUUUGAGCCUCCACUGAGGUUUUGUGGUCAUGAACAUCGAGUGAAAUGAGUCUGCUCAGCUGCAUCUUUCCCUCAGCCAAACUUCCUUCCUCAGAUUGCAUAUGGAGGAGUAGCAUGGUGGAGAUGCUGGACACAGAGGCACUUUCUACAAACAGAGUCCCCUGUGUCUGCAGUUUUCACUUGAAGUUAAAAGUUUGUUACUUUCACUGUGAAUGGCCGUCAUGUUUUCUGUUUCUAUCACAUAGACUUUCUAUGCCCCCUCCACUGGCCUCCACAUAGACCCCAGAUAUGUUGGUUACAUUUCAGCAGCAGGAAACAGGAGGAGGAAAGGAGGGUACUGCUGGGGUCAGACAGAGUGAGACAUACUAAGGCCUGGGCUCCCAAGUGACCGUCCUCCCUGUACCUAAGAUGGUGACAGCACACGCUGGGCACUGAGGAAGGAGCUUCAGUUCCCAUCAUCUAGACCCAAGGUCCAGGGCUCACAGCUCACACAGGCCCUGGACUUAGAUGCUCUGUAGAAGCUUAACUGCUUUGCAGGCUUCCCAGACCCUGAGCUCCUGGAGGAGCAGCUAAGGAGCCUCCAACUUUGAGGUGUAACCUGAAUCUCCUCUCCCCCAUAGGAAAAACUGUUUCUUUUGCUCAUGGGUCUUCAGAGCUUAUGAUCUGAUGUCUGUUUCCCCCAGCCUCACCCUACACCACAACCAGGCCUCUAUCCCUCCUUUCAGCCCCUGCAAUACAGACCCAGUGCUAUUCCUAAAUGGGAUGCCUAGCAUUCCCAAGACAUGGCAUCUCUCCUUCCUCUUGGCUUAGACUUCUCCUUUACUUUUCAACUCCUGUCAAAUCUCACCACCCUGCUGAUUGGGCAGUGCAUACUUCCGGGAGCACAUUGCUACUUCCGGUCCCUCCCUCAGGCUGUGAGCGCUUCGAACCAGGUUUGUGCAGGUUCGCUAUUUUCCUAAUCACCAAUGAGGGUCUGUUGGGAAGUGGAAUGCUGGAUGGAUGAGUGAAUGACAUGUAAGAACACACCUCCCAGGGUGUGUUGGCCGUAAAUGACAGCACAGAGCUAGAGAGAGAGAGCAGAGGCCGGAGGAGGAGACAAACAUGAAGAGGAGAACAAGCCUUUCUAGAGCUCCUGUGAGAUUCCAAGGGAAGCUUCUUCUUUUAAGUUGCAGAGUGUGAAGGAAGUGCACCUGCUGUCGAGUUCAAAAAGCAAGUGCAGCUGAGUGUGGCCAACUCUAAAGUGAGCUCUUAUGUGUUCACUACGGCGAGAUAAUUUUCAGACUGUCCCCAAUGGAGGCCUUGAGUGCUGUAGGAGACCCUGGUUUCCACCCUAGGGAAGCACGUAGCUGAGGGCCACCUCUCCCCUUAACCAGACCUGCCCCCCUUUUAAUGGGGUUCCCUAGAAGUCCUCACUUGGGAAAGGGGUCUACUUCUCAGGAACAGACAAGGGGAAGAUGAAGAGUCGCUGGAGAUCUGAGCAGGUUUCACGAUCCAGAUCCCAGCUCUUCCUUCUGCCUGUCACCUGCAGCCUCUGUGAAAUGGGAGGAGCACCAGUGCUGCCUCCCAUGGGGUUGCAGAUUGCUCCAGGGGCUUUAACCAGCUUGGUGACUUAAAGCAACUGGCUCAGGCUUUGCCACUGGAGCCAGGUUGUGGAACUGGUGUCAGGGUGUGUGUCUCAGUGUUGGGAAAAGUGAGGGUCAUGUCACAGAGUGCUGGGGAGGCAUUCAGAAGCUGAGCUCUGGCCAGAUGCCCACUUGUAGGAGGACACAACUGACUGCCCAGCCAACCAUACUUACACUUGGGUGUUCGGUCCACACACAGCACUGUGGACCGAGGACGUCUCUCUGGCAGGCAGCCCAGCCUUCUCACCUGCUCCAGGCAGCAAUGAUGGGACAGACAGCACCUAUGACCAAGAGAACCCUUUACUACCCAGAGCUCCCCACUGACCUGGCCUUCUUUACCCACACUCCUGGAGUAGUGGAAGAAACCAGUGCCUCCCGUCCAGGACCCACAGGACUGACCUAUACACAGCCCAGCCUGAUUGUGUAUGGUGGGUUGGGUUGUGUACUACACAAAGAUGCCAUCUCUAAGAUAGCAUCCAUCACACUAUAUGCAGCUCAUUAGUUACAGUUUUUUCUUGUAUUCUCAUUAUGAUGCUGUUGAUGACAGUGUGGCUGAUUUGCAUAUUUAUCGGUGAAAAAUGGAGUCUUUAAGAAAGGGAUACUUUCAGAAUGGAGUCUUUUUUUUUUUUUUUCCAUCUCAUAGGAAGGCUUCCUGGGAGCUAGCAGUGCCCUGACUCUGUCCAGCCUUUCUCAAAGUAGAAUAGUUGAUCUUACAUCUGUAGGGCACCCGCCCUGAGCCCUCAGUCUUAGACAGCCGUUAGUCUCUGUAAAUAAAGAACUGUAAAAAAUGCUUAGUGUAGCACAGGGCCUCAGUGAAUGUAGGAAGGAAUCGUGUCUUGUUUGUCAAUGCUCCUGCGUGUCCCAAUGCAGCCACCAUCUUCAGAGCCCCACAGCCAGAAGGACAUCCUCAGGACGGCAAGAGACCUCCAGGGAUGACUGCUCCCCAGUCUUCUCUUUCCAACUCUUCCUGGUCCUUGAAUGUCUCUCAACACCCCUGGAGACUUACAACUUUUAGCUUUUUUUUUUUUUUUUUUUUGAUCCUUUCCAGUACUGGAGAUUAAACCCAGAGCCUUUCCCCUGAGCUAUGCUAUUAGCCCUUUUAACUUUUUUGUUUUUUUAAUUUUGAGACAGGGUUUCACUAAGUUGCCUAGGCUGGCUGGAACUUGCAAUCCUACUGCCUCAGCCUCCCAGAGUGCUUGAGCCACUACCCCGUCUGGCCUUUCUUGCAGCUUUUAGCAGCUCUUGUUUGUCUCCAGCCAGGCAUCAGCUAUACUGACCUUGUUGUGUAUAGUUGGAGGAACCACACACUUCGCAUGUUCCCAUAGCCCAUGGCAAAGGUCAGUGCCUGGCUCAUAACAGGCUGCUGCCGUAACAGAAUCAUGGGAUCCUGUUGAGCUUUUGCCAGAUGGAGAUGGGAAGACACUUCACCUAACAGUUACACCCCAAAGUCAGCAAGUCACAGAUAAUGGAUAUUCUCUCAGCAGUCCCUGACGUGGUGUCUGACGUACUCUGUACCUGCAGUUGGGAACACACCCUGCAAGACAUGACACCAGUGUGGCUAACCCUGUCCUCCUAUGGUUUUGGCUUUCUGGUUUCCUCCAGUGGUGGGCAGGAAGCCAUACUGUACCUUCAUUUCCUGGCUGGUCACAUUUCCUAUUUUUGUGAAAUAUGGUCAGUGUUUACCUUCACCAUCAUCCCUGCUUCCUCUCAGAGGCUACUGCUGGCCGGGUUCUUAUGGCCUGAGGAAUCUUGACACUGUCAACAUAAAAUUUGCUAUAACAAAACUUCCUUUACGUUUUUUUAGUAGUAGGGACUAAACCCAAACCCUUCACACCUGAGCUUUAUCCCUAACUGCCUCCCCCCACUUUGUUUUUUAUUUUUACUUUUUUCUUUGAGACAGUGUAAUUAAAUUGAUAGCGUGCCCAGACUGGGCUUUGAACUUGUCAUCUUUCUGCCUCAGCCUCCCAGAGUGCUGGUAUAUGCCACCAGGCCUAGAGUUUAUGCUUCUAUAGGGUCUCCUAGUACAAGUUUCCUGCCCUGGAAGCCCACACAGGUUGAUAAAGGUCAGUCCGACCGUGAACUUGGGGGAAAGCACCAAGGUGGAGUUGGGUGGUGGGUGCAUAACCCAGCAAGCCUGCCUCAGGUGCAGCUUGGCCUACGGCAGCCCACACGCUCCACACUCCUGUACUCCUGCACUCCUGCCUUUACAUCCUUACACUCAGCCUUUCUCAGCUCUGACCCCCACACUGCUCCCGAGGGGCGAACACCCUGCCCUUUGAAUGUAGAUCUUUCCAGCCUAUAAAGUUACCUAUUGUACUUCCUAAAUAUUCCUCAAACUUGAGUGGAGACUCUAUAUCUGUUUCUUCUAUUAUAUUUAUUAUGCUGGGCAAUAUUUUUUAUCAAAUUGUCCAUCUCUUUCUCCAUUUAAAACUUUACAUGGGCCCAAGCAUUCAUUUAUUGUUUAUAUUUUUCUGCAUUGUUUUGUACCUCCAGUACCUAGUGUAGUGUCUGGCACAGAGCAAAACCACAGCAAAUCUAGACUGGAUGCAUUUGCGAAUGAAUAAAUAAGCUAAUAAAUAUA